Molecule: unclassified non-coding RNA, 307 nt
Filed under: Hevea brasiliensis (rubber tree)
Lineage: Eukaryota; Viridiplantae; Streptophyta; Magnoliopsida; Malpighiales; Euphorbiaceae
Source: RNAcentral
UAUGCUUGGUCCGAUCAUGCUGAAUUGGAUUAUAAACUAUACUGAUUGCAGCUUUGUUAUCACAAAACAAAAACAAAUCAUUAGCUUCAAACAGUUUUUAUUCCACCGUCAACUUCCGUAACCACAAUAACUCACAAAUGCCUUGAGUCAUUGCCCUGAAUUCGGCCUCGGCACUGGAUCUAGCUGUCACAUUUUGCUUCUUACUUCUCCAAGUGACUAAAUUAUCACCAACAAAAGUACAGUAUCAUUAUCCUGAAGUCGAUCUCCUAUCAUCAAGAGACCUAGCCCAAUCUGCAUCUGUAAAGGC